This is a non-coding RNA of Rattus norvegicus (Norway rat), 5586 nucleotides long. The record is from RefSeq and is a predicted model, not a curated record. NCBI's taxonomy places the organism in Eukaryota, Metazoa, Chordata, Mammalia, Rodentia, Muridae.
GCUGGAAAAGAAAACGGAGUCAGUGGCCGUGCAGUCAGCCGUGUCGCCUUCCAACACUGACUAUGCUCCUGUUGUAGACCAGAGGACAAGAGAGCAAACAAGAUGCCCUUGAAAACAAACCCGCAGGCUCAUGUGGGAAGCGCGGUCAGCUCGCCCUGUGUUCAAUUACGGCACAAGAAUAAAAAUGUCUACUGACAAAAUGCUUUGUGAACUGAAGCCCCCUCAAGACAUUCACUUUAGCUUCUAAGAAGGCAUACUGAAAACAAGACAUUUACACAAAAUCUUUUAAAGAUUGGUGUCUUAUUGUAAUGUUAGUGCACCCAUGAUUCCUCUCACUGAAACCCGAGUAUAGGUGGUAACAGAAGACAGUAUUGAAAACCACAGGCUUAGUCUGUCAUCGUGAGCCAUGCUGUGCCGAUGUCACUUUCUGGCUUUGGCAAGUGCAGUGGAAGAAGCCGUGUGAAAGGAUCCACCUCUUUGCGAUGGUUCAACAGUCUAUAGAAACAAAGGCCUUUAAAGCCGGCAAGCUUGAUUACGGACACAGUGGAGACUUGUUAGAGCUAUCUGUUAUGCUUUCUUUUUAAAAAAAAGAUUUUUUUUUUGUUUUGUUUUCAUUUUUCUAGACUGGGGUUUCUCUGUGUAGCCCUAGCUAUUCUGGAACUUGCUCUGUAGAUCAGGGCGGCCUUUGAUGCAGAGAUCUGCCUGUCUCUGCCUCCCAGUGCAGAUUCAAGGCACGCACUGACACCAGGCUAGGAAGAUCUGUUUUUAUUUGAGUGUUGUGCAUGACUGCGUGUAUCACGUGCAUGCAGUACCCGAAGAGGCCAGCAGAGGGUGGCAUAUCGCCUGGAACUGGAGCUACAGAUAGUUGUGAGGCGGCAGGUGGGUGUUGGGAAAUGAACCCAGGUCCUCUGGAAGCACUGAGCCAUCCUUCCAACACAAAUUUAGCCAUGGUGAAACUCUACAUAAUACCAUGUAUAUAUAGAUUUACAGUCCUUCCUCAUUGCUUAAGGCUAAGCAUCUUGUCACAAAGACACCCAGUCAUUUGUUCUGGGUGCGCAUGUUUCCACUGUGCUGGUGUGUGUGCAUGUUUACCGUUAUGGAGGCCAGGGAACAACCGUGGCUGCUGCUCCACUUCUGUUUGAGGAACUGACCCCAACGGCCUGGGGCUUGCCAAAUAAACAGGCAUCGAGUUCUCCGCCUCCCUAGCUCUCUACACUCUGCUUCUGCAGGAGGGGUUGGGGUUUUAUUUUUUUUAUUUUUUUUGGUUCUUUUUUUCGGAGCUGGGGACCGAACCCAGGGCCUUGCGCUUCCUAGGCAAGCGCUCUACCACUGAGCUAAAUCCCCAGCCCCGGGGUUGGGGUUUUGAAAUCAGCCCUCACCCUUACACAGCAGGCAGUUUCCUAGCUGCGUUAACCCUCCAGCCUCUACACUUUACACUUUACACGUGUGAAUGUGUGUUCAUGUACACAGUGUGGGCGUCAGAGAAGACUCCUGGAGGUCAAGUUUUACCUACUGCAUUGUUGAAACAGCGUCUGUGUUUGCUGAUGUGCACGCUAGGCCUCCUUGGCCUGCAGCGCUCACAGGUUCUUUCUGUCUUCACUUUCUUCUCCUCAGGACACUGGGAUUGCAGACGUGUGCUCCCACACUGGGCUAGUACACAGCGUCUUGGGAUUUGAACUUACGUCCUCAUGUCUCUACUGCAAGUGUUCUAUCCACUACACCAUCUCUCACCUCAUAAUUUAGCUGUGGAUGGGCAUUUAUGAUGUCAUCAGUUUUCCAGCUUUGCUAUUACAUGUAUUAUAUAUAAAAUAGUAUGUUUUGCUAUUUACUCGGCAAUAUUCUCACCCAACUCUGUGUGUCUUGCAAGCAACUAACUGCAGGGUUGCAGUGCAGCCUGGUGUGGAUCUGGUACCACUGUCUUACCACAGCACAGAAGAAUAUGCCUUCCUUCAUAGGAUUCACCUUGGAAGCUCCCUGGACAUGGCUGGUGUACUUCAAAGUGAGAAAUAACUUUAUUAUGUAUAUAAUCAAUGACCUAGAUAUCAACCAAAAGAAAACUGAUCAGUUGGACUUCCACACAGCCUGCAUUUCUGCAUCCUGGAUGGCUGAGAAUGACCUGUUGGUGAGAUCUGCUCCAUUAAUUGUUUGUCUGUAUUUACUUUGGGUGGAGGUCAGAGCAUCAUGACUUGCAGGAGUUGUUCUCUUCCCCGAUGUGCAUUCUGGGGGCUGAACUUUGGUCGUCAGGCUUAGCAGUAAGCACUCUUCCUCACUCUUGAGCCACUUUGCCGGCUUUUAAAAAUGGUCUAGCCUUAACAGCAAAGUCAAAAUCCAAAGGGAUGUAAGAUCUAAAAUUUACCAGGUAAAAAAACUACAGCACACAAACCAAAAUUAGAGGCGCAGGGGGAGUCAGACAGUGCCUUCUACUACAGACAAGAUGGCCGCUGACACUGUCUUGGCAGGCUGGGUGUCAGCUGGGGUGCUGAAUACAAGAAGGGUCAGGCCACCAGGCUACCACGGACAGUGUACUUAGUUCUUAAUGUCGUUAUGAUUUAUACUUCAAGGAACAGUGGGGAGAAGUCAAGGGAAUGUUCCUUUCAUUUUAAACAGCAAACAGGACUUCAGGCUUACAGGGACAACUAAGGAGAACACAGAGCUUCCCUCCUGUCCCUCAUGGUCCUGUCUACGGCCCUUGACUUUGCCACAUAGCAAUAGUUGUGGCGUUAUAUACUGCCCUCUUUCCUAUUCUGGAAACCCACAGCUACUUCACCAACAGGGCUUCUGUGCAUGUUUGUCACCCUACCGCAGUUUUUUUAUUCAUUUGGGAAAUACUGAUUGAGGCCAGACACACAGCAGAGACCCAGCAAGGAUCUCACUGGCUCCCUCAAGCUCCUGGAGCCUGCGUUCCUGCCCCACUGUCUCUCCUCCAGCUAUGAUUCUCUUCAGAAGUCAACUCAAGCGUCUGUUCCUCACAGCCACACAAACUCUGUCACUGUAGUUGUUACUGGUUUACGUAGGGCUAGGGACCAGCUCAGGGAAACAGUGCUUGCCCCGUGUGCUUGAGGAUCUGGAUUCAACCCUCACGUAUUACAAUUAUUUAUUCACACAACAAAUACACAGAGCACUGAGUAUGUUAUAGUGGGAGAAUAAAACAGCUCCUUAAAAUGAUCACAUUUUAUUUAUUAUAUGCUAUCUGUGUGCACAAGCUGAUGAGCCAUCCUGCCAGCCCACAAAAUAAUAAACAAGGACAGGGUGUGGUGGUGCACUCUGGGAAUUCUAGCAGUUGGGAGGUGGAAGCAGCGAGGACCAGGGUUUAAGGCCAGCCUGGGUUACUUGAGACCCUGUCUCAAAAGCAAGCAAGCAAGCAAGCAAGCAAGCAAGCAAGCAAGCAAGCAAGCAAGCAAGCAAGCACAUAAACAACGAGGCUGCCUCAACUGUGAGGCUGCUGCGGUCCUCCUGAGGAGUCUUCCACCUGCUCACCGAGCACUUUCACUUUCUUAACUGCCUUUGGUUCCCAGAACAGGAUUUAUGUCCAUGGACCUAAUUUAUGGUCUCCCGCAAAGAUGGGAACCCUUUAAUGAAGAAUUUUGAGUCCUCAGGAUUUUGUGUAGUGGCUGGCUGGCAUAAAGUAGGUGCUCAGUAAACACUUAACGAAGGAAUUACUGAGAAAGGGAGACGGAACACUGUUUGUUCAAUACACAUGAGUUCUGCAGGAAGUUAGACUUAAAGGACAAAUGCCCGGUGAUGACCUCGAGCAGGUAGGGUAAGGGGUGGGAAUGCGGGUUCCUGACAGGGCGGCAUCGCUGAUGAGGCAACAACUGAUAAUCAAGGAAUGCAGGAAGAGGUGCAGGUGUGUGCCGGGCCUUCGACUGCAUGAAGCUCCUUCCUCUGCAACCACAGCUGCAAUUCUAAAUUGAUUCUGAAACGAUUCUGAUUUCCUCCCCCAAAGGUCGGCUUCUGACACCCAUGCCCCAGCUUAAACACUCAGUAACAAAGAAGGGAUACUGCCUGGGGCUGGGGUAGCAACAGCAGAGUGUCUGCUACUACCCACUAACCAGUUACCUAGGUAAUUUAUUUAAUUCAGCUCUUCCUUUUACAAGCGAGGAAGACUGCUAGGUGGUGGUGGUGGUGGAGGAGGCAGAGGCAGGUAAAUUUGAGGGUCAGCCUGGUCUACAGAGUGAGUUCCAGGACAGUCAGAAAUACACAGAGACCAGUCUCAAAAAACAACAACAAAAUGGAGAGAGAGAGAGAGAGAGAGAGAGAGAGAGAGAGAGAGAGAGAGAGAGAGACUGUAUCCUACUAUGAAGGUUGAGGCAAGUUGAGUGUGGGUUUCAGGGUAUCCUGGACUACAUAAUGCUCAAAAAAGCAAAUGCACAAGUUAAUAAUAAAAGUUAACGGGGUUGGGGAUUUAGCUCAGUGGUAGAGCGCUUGCCUAGCAAGCCCAAGGCCCUGGGUUCAGUUCCCAGGUCCGAAAAAAAGAAAAAAAAAAGUUAACUUAAAAGACUUUUUUAAAAAAAAUCAAGGGCUGGAGAGAUGGCUCAGCUGUUAAGAGCACUGACUGCUCUUCCAGAGGUUCUGAGUCCAACUCCCAGCAACCACAUGGUGGCUCACAACCAUCUGUAAUGAGAUCCGAUGCCCUCUUCUGAUGUCUGAAGACAGUUACAGUGUACUCCCAUACAUAAAAUAUAUAAAUAAUUUUAAAAAAUAAAAUAAAAAAAUCAAGAAACUUAAAGAUAAGGUUCUGGCACUGAAACACAUUUAAAACUCAAGCUUUUAUUACAGCUACUAUAUCAAUAUCCUAAGAAAAGUAUUAUGUUUUAAGUGUUUACUUCAUUAUGAAUGUGUGUGUCUGUACGUGUGUCGAUGAGUGUCUACUGAGCUGCAGUUACAGGCUUUUGUGAGCUGCUGGGUAGGGAUGCUCGGAUCUGAGCUCUGUUCUGUUAACUGCUGAGCCAUCUCUCCAGUCCAUAAAAUUACCAAUGCGUUUAUUUAUACAAGGUCCAAUUCCUUUCAAGUACUGACAUACAAAAAAAAAGCAAGCCCCGUGGAAGUGUCUAGGGAAAUCAAGAUACCCUAGGGUCAUAUUUCCAUGCAUUCAAUACUCAGUACUUAGAAGAUGUUCGAAAACAUCUGCAUGUGACAUCUCAUCUCUUAAGUCAUCACAGAUAAAAGCUGACACAAGUAAUAUGCUGCUCCAAAGUGCUCCCCAAACCAGUAAUGUCUCUUCAGUCUAUGACAUGGGCAGCUAGGUGGCCUAUUUUAUAUAAACGGUGUCUUUUUUUUUUUUUUCUUUUUUUCUUUUUUUCGGAGCUGGGGACCGAACCCAGGGCCUUGCGCUUGCUAGGCAAGCGCUCUACCACUGAGCUAAAUCCCCAACCCCUAUAAACGGUGUCUUAAGUGACACACCAGGAAGGUAAGAAUUCAUACAGCAAUUGACUGAUGCACCAUUCGGAAAAUCAAAUGGAGAGGAGUGUGGUUUCUACUCCCAAAGCCUCCAGGCCGGGGAAGGAACAGCCCAAUUACCUAGCAAAAAUCUCUCAAGAUGACUGUUCUGGAACUACAAAGACAGAGGUGAAGGGGUCAAGCUCC